AAAACAUAGUAUAACUAUAAUACAUCUCAUUUACACUGAGAAAAUACUUAAAGUUGAGUUGUUUU
This 65-nucleotide transfer RNA is filed under the name Hexaplex radix. RNAcentral describes it as "Muricanthus radix transfer RNA-Val". The record is from RNAcentral. Lineage: Eukaryota; Metazoa; Mollusca; Gastropoda; Neogastropoda; Muricidae.